UAUUGCACAAUGGGCGAAAGCCUGAUGCAGCGACGCCGCGUGAGUGAAGAAGUAUCUCGGUANGUAAAGCUCUAUCAGCAGGGAANNCANNNANGGUACCUGACUAAGAAGCCCCGGCUAACUACGUUCCAGCAGCCGCGGUAAUACGUAGGGGGCAAGCGUUAUCUGGAUUUACUGGGUGUAAAGGGAGCGUAGACGGCGACGCAAGUCUGGAGUGAAAGCCCGGGGCCCAACCCCGGGACUGCUUUGGAAACUGUGCAGCUCGAGUGCAGGAGAGGUAAGCGGAAUUCCUAGUGUAGCGGUGAAAUGCGUAGAUAUUAGGAGGAACACCAGUGGCGAAGGCGGCUUACUGGACUGUAACUGACGUUGAGGCUCGAAAGCGUGGGGAGCAA
RNAcentral lists this ribosomal RNA (392 nucleotides) under uncultured bacterium. RNAcentral describes it as "bacterial SSU rRNA". It matches the Rfam family "Bacterial small subunit ribosomal RNA", at positions 362 to 771 of the family's 1533-position model. The record is from RNAcentral.